UACAGAGGUCUCAAGCGUUGUUCGGAUUCAUUGGGCGUAAAGGGUGCGUAGGCGGCGCGGUAAGUCGGGUGUGAAAUCUUGGAGCCUAACUCCGAAACUGCAUUCGAUACUGCCGUGCUUGAGGACUGGAGAGGAGACUGGAAUUUACGGUGUAGCGGUGAAAUGCGUAGAUAUCGUAAGGAAGACCAGUGGCGAAGGCGGGUCUCUGGACAGUUCCUGACGCUGAGGCACGAAGGCCAGGGGAGCAAACGGG
RNAcentral lists this ribosomal RNA (253 nucleotides) under uncultured bacterium. RNAcentral's name for it is "partial 16S ribosomal RNA". It matches the Rfam family "Bacterial small subunit ribosomal RNA", at positions 524 to 776 of the family's 1533-position model. The record is from RNAcentral.